RNAcentral lists this ribosomal RNA (674 nucleotides) under uncultured bacterium. RNAcentral's name for it is "bacterial SSU rRNA". It matches the Rfam family "Bacterial small subunit ribosomal RNA", at positions 94 to 803 of the family's 1533-position model. The record is from RNAcentral.
AGCGGCGGACGGGUGAGUAAUGCGUGGGAANAGGCCCUUCUCUAAGGAAUAGCCUCUGGAAACGGAGAGUAAUACCUUAUACGCCCUUCGGGGGAAAGAUUUAUCGGAGAAGGAUUAGCCCGCGUUAGAUUAGGUAGUUGGUGGGGUAAUGGCCUACCAAGCCUACGAUCUAUAGCUGGUUUGAGAGGAUGAUCAGCCACACUGGGACUGAGACACGGCCCAAACUCCUACGGGAGGCAGCAGUAGGGAAUCUUAGACAAUGGGGGAAACCCUGAUCUAGCCAUGCCGCGUGUGUGAUGAAGGCCUUAGGGUCGUAAAGCACUUUCGCCAGAGAUGAUAAUGACAGUAUCUGGUAAAGAAACCCCGGCUAACUCCGUGCCAGCAGCCGCGGUAAUACGGAGGGGGUUAGCGUUGUUCGGAAUUACUGGGCGUAAAGCGCACGUAGGCGGAUUAGUAAGUUAGAGGUGAAAUCCCAGGGCUCAACCCUGGAACUGCCUUUAAUACUGCUAGUCUUGAGUUCGAGAGAGGUAAGUGGAAUUCCGAGUGUAGAGGUGAAAUUCGUAGAUAUUCGGAGGAACACCAGUGGCGAAGGCGGCUUACUGGCUCGAUACUGACGCUGAGGUACGAAAGUGUGGGGAGCAAACAGGAUUAGAUACCCUGGUAGUCCACACCGA